Molecule: ribosomal RNA, 310 nt
Filed under: uncultured bacterium
Lineage: Bacteria
Description: bacterial SSU rRNA
Rfam family: Bacterial small subunit ribosomal RNA
Source: RNAcentral
AACGAACGUUAGCGGCGCGCUUAACACAUGCAAGUCGAGCGAGAAAGGGGCAACCCCGGUAAAGCGGCGCACGGGUGAGUAACACGUAGGUAAUCAACCCCCAGGUGGUGGAUAACCUUCCGAAAGGAGGGCUAAUACAGCAUGAGACCACGGUCCCGCAAGGGAUUGAGGUCAAAGCCGGCCUCUUCAUGAAAGCUGGCGCCAGGGGACGAGCCUGCGGCCCAUCAGCUAGUUGGUAGGGAAUGGCCUACCAAGGCGAAGACGGGUAGCUGGUCUGAGAGGAUGAUCAGCCACACUGGAACUGAGACAC